CAGUCGCCGCGGUAAUACGGAGGGCGCGAGCGUUACCCGGAUUUACUGGGCGUAAAGGGCGUGUAGGCGGCCUGGGGCGUCCCAUGUGAAAGGCCACGGCUCAACCGUGGAGGAGCGUGGGAUACGCUCAGGCUAGAGGGUGGGAGAGGGUGGUGGAAUUCCCGGAGUAGCGGUGAAAUGCGCAGAUACCGGGAGUAACGCCGAUGGCGAAGGCAGCCACCUGGUCCACUUCUGACGCUGAGGCGCGAAAGCGUGGGGAGCAAACCGGAUUAGAUACCCCUGUAGUCCCUGUCUCUUAUAA
This 301-nucleotide ribosomal RNA is filed under the name uncultured bacterium. Its description in RNAcentral is "partial 16S ribosomal RNA". It matches the Rfam family "Bacterial small subunit ribosomal RNA", at positions 509 to 809 of the family's 1533-position model. The record is from RNAcentral.